This 425-nucleotide ribosomal RNA is filed under the name uncultured bacterium. RNAcentral's name for it is "bacterial SSU rRNA". It matches the Rfam family "Bacterial small subunit ribosomal RNA", at positions 354 to 796 of the family's 1533-position model. The record is from RNAcentral.
GUGGGGAAUAUUGCACAAUGGGGGAAACCCUGAUGCAGCAACGCCGCGUGAACGAUGAAGGCCUUUGGGUCGUAAAGUUCUGUUCUAGGUGAUGAAAACUGACAGUAACCUAGGAGAAAGCCCCGGCUAACUCCGUGCCAGCAGCCGCGGUAAUACGGAGGGGGCAAGCGUUAUCCGGAAUUAUUGGGCGUAAAGGGUACGUAGGUGGCCUUUUAAGCGUAGGGUAUAAGGCAAUGGCUCAACCAUUGUUCGCCCUAUGAACUGGAAGGCUUGAGUGCAGGAGAGGAAAGCGGAAUUCCUAGUGUAGCGGUGGAAUGCAUAGAUAUUAGGAGGAACAUCAGCGGCGAAGGCGGCUUUCUGGACUGCAACUGACACUGAGGUACGAAAGCGUGGGGAGCAAACAGGAUUAGAAACCCUAGUAGUCC